RNAcentral lists this non-coding RNA (77 nucleotides) under Candidatus Methanocorpusculum faecipullorum. RNAcentral describes it as "S15-Methanomicrobia ribosomal protein leader". It matches the Rfam family "S15-Methanomicrobia ribosomal protein leader". The record is from RNAcentral. Lineage: Archaea; Methanobacteriati; Methanobacteriota; Methanomicrobia; Methanomicrobiales; Methanocorpusculaceae.
GCACUUUACAGUGCUGGCUGAAGUAAGUCCGACGUGUCUGUCUGUUACGACACUGCCAUUCUUGGCUUUGGGAUUAC